Vigna unguiculata (cowpea) is the source of this 2391-nucleotide unclassified non-coding RNA. NCBI's taxonomy places the organism in Eukaryota, Viridiplantae, Streptophyta, Magnoliopsida, Fabales, Fabaceae. The record is from RefSeq and is a predicted model, not a curated record.
CACAGCUAGCUUGUUUUGUUUCCCUCUCUCUCUUAUUGCGAACGGGAACCCUCUUUCGUUCUCCUUGAGACGUGCGAGCUUCGAGUGUUUGGGUAAUGGCUUCAACGGACGUCAGAGGAAUUUUGACCGCUUUCAAUCCUUCUCAGGACUUCUUCGCUAUCACUGCCGGAGACGGUCGCGUCAAGAUAUGGGACACGCUGAGUGGCCAGGUCCAGACCGAGUUCGCAGAUAUUGCAUCGACUCAUUCAACAACUACGUCACAGAAUAAAUCUAUUAACGGCCAUCUUGCACUAGAUUAUACCUGCAUCAAGUGGUUCUCCUUCGAAAGAAAGAGGAAACGGAAGCAUGUAUCCUCGUUGUUAGUACUUGGAACUGGUAGUGGUGAUGUUCUCGCACUUGAUGUUGAUGCUGGUCAUUUGAGUUGGAGAAUUACUGACUGUCAUCCCGGAGGUGUGAGAGCGAUUGCAUCUUCAGCAAACGUGUCAAGCAUUUAUACAGCUGGUGCAGAUGGGAUGGUAUGUGCGAUAGAUUUCAUGACAGGAAACCUGUUGGAGAAAUUUAAGGCUUCUACCAAGGCGGUGUCCUGCAUGUGUGUUUCUCCGGAUGGGAAGACAUUAGCUACUGCAGCUGCACAAUUGAAGAUUUUUAAUUGCUCUGAUCACAAAAAGAUUCAAAAGUUCUCUGGUCAUCCUGGUUCUAUUCGAUGCAUGGUUUUCACUGAAGAUGGCAAGUAUAUCCUCUCGUCCGCUGUUGGUGAAAGAUAUGUUGCUGUUUGGAGGGUAGAUGGUCCUAAAACGCAGUCAGCUAGUUGUGUUCUUGCGAUGGAGCAUCCUGCUGUCUUUCUUGAUAGCAGGUGCAUUGAUAGUGCGGAGGAUGACAUGCCUGGCAUAUGUGUUUUGGCCAUUUCAGAAAUUGGCAUUUGUUAUUUAUGGUUUGGUAAUAGUAUUGAAGAACUGCGUAAUGCAAAAGCCACAAAAAUAUCAUUAUCUUUAGAAGACAUGCCCUCCAGAAAUUAUAGAGGAACUCUGCCAGCAAUAUAUGCUGCAAAAUUACAAGGCAUCCAGAAGCCAGCCUCUGGGCAAGUUUUUCUUGUUUAUGGGUUGCUUGUAAAGCCAUCAUUCAGAAAAAUUCUUGUGCAUUCUGGUACAGAUGUAAAGUUGAAUGUCUCUCGUGAUGGUGUUCUUCUACCAACUAGUCAAGCUCUUGUCAAAUCUAAGAAGGGAGCAAAUGCACAAACAGUUACUGCCCUAGACCGAGCUAAUGCUGAGGAUGCCUUGCUUCCGAUUCCUAAGGUUUUUGAUUCCCAUGAAAACGAGAAAGAGAAAGCAUUUCAAAAACCUUUGGACAAGGAUAUAAUUGAUGAUUUGUGGAGAAGUACUAAUGAUGAUUCUGUUGAGACGGAAGAAGAUAUGGCCCAUAGUGAGGCUGAUGACCUUUGCAUGGAGGACCUGCUAAAAACACUAGGGAUGCUUUCCAGUGAAAGUGAAUAUGCAUCAAACAUUAAACUUUGCUCUAAGUUGUUGAAGGGUAUUGAUGUGGAAGCUACUGUUCCAGUGAAAAAGAUCCAUUCAUUAGAUAAGAGCAGCUGUUUUGUCUAUGGAGCCAAGCAAAGCAUUCAUGCUACUGGAAGCGUUACUGACUGCAUGGGAAUCAAGGUCAUCUAGUGGAAAGUACAUUCUUCCAUGGAUAUACAGCAUAUUAGUGAAUCAUGCUCAAAAUGUCAUUGCUGAGGGAUCUGAUACACGUACGCUUGAUACCUUAGAGAGGAUUAGCAAUUUUAGAGGGGCAGCUCUUCAGCCUUUGUUACAAUUAUCAGGUCGUCUCCAACUGGUGACAUCACAGAUUGACAAAGCCUCUCAGACUAUAAGCCAUUCGGGGCAUGAACUCCAAGCGGAAGAAAGUGAAGAAGAUGAAGAUGAAACUAAGGAUGAAUAUUAUCACGAGGGAGAUGAUACUUCUGAAAUAAGUACUGAUGAUGAAAGCUAGUCUCAUUUUUCAUUUUUUUGAGAGGUUGACCCUUUUGCGGCUAACAAAGAUAGAGGAAUUGCGGCCGACAGAGAUAUAGAGGAAUGGAAACUGUAUUUCAUCCAGCCUUUCACAAUUUUGUUGCUAUAUAGAUAGAUAACUCCUCAGAAAGAAAUUUUGGUGUUACCCACAGAAUUAUUGAAAAUGACGCUGCCCCUAAUUUAUGUAAUUUCAGUUUUUUUACCGAUAAGUAAAAGUAGACGAACAUAGCUCGGACAUAUAUUUACAUGUUUGAAGACAUACUCAGCUUAUAAUGAUUAGGAGUUUGUAUAAACCGGAUCUAGGACAUCUUUGAAUAUACAGUUAUCUACCUGAACAUGUAUCUUUCGCUCUCACGAAACGAAUCCAGAAUACAUUUUUCUAGCA